Molecule: non-coding RNA, 224 nt
Organism: Pelobates cultripes (western spadefoot toad)
Lineage: Eukaryota; Metazoa; Chordata; Amphibia; Anura; Pelobatidae
Source: the annotation of a GenBank genome assembly
GGAAAAAACCACAGCUGAUAGAUCCAUUGUACGUGGGGUUGCGACCUGUUUCCUAACAGCCAGUCCAUGAGCUGCCAAGCUGACCUAUUAGCCAUUUCCCUGUAGUUAUAAAAUGUUGAAGGUCAUUUGCGGACUUAGGGCCGCGAUAAGACACUGCCACCAUGUCUCAUCUCUUGAUGUGUAAGGUGGCUCCACCGAUCAUGCCCUUGUCACCUGGCGAUGUG